Molecule: ribosomal RNA, 301 nt
Filed under: uncultured bacterium
Lineage: Bacteria
Description: partial 16S ribosomal RNA
Rfam family: Bacterial small subunit ribosomal RNA
Source: RNAcentral
CAGCCGCCACGGUAAUACAGAGGGUGCGAGCGUUAAUCGGAUUUACUGGGCGUAAAGCGUGCGUAGGCGGCUUCUUAAGUCGGAUGUGAAAUCCCUGAGCUUAACUUAGGAAUUGCAUUCGAUACUGGGAAGCUAGAGUAUGGGAGAGGAUGGUAGAAUUCCAGGUGUAGCGGUGAAAUGCGUAGAGAUCUGGAGGAAUACCGAUGGCGAAGGCAGCCAUCCGGCCUAAUACUGACGCUGAGGUACGAAAGCAUGGGGAGCAAACAGGAUUAGAUACCCGAGAGUCCCUGUCUCUUAUACA